RNAcentral lists this ribosomal RNA (253 nucleotides) under uncultured bacterium. Its description in RNAcentral is "partial 16S ribosomal RNA". It matches the Rfam family "Bacterial small subunit ribosomal RNA", at positions 524 to 776 of the family's 1533-position model. The record is from RNAcentral.
UACAGAGGGUGCAAACGUUGUUCGGAAUUACUGGGCGUAAAGCGCGUGUAGGCGGUUCGUAAAGUCGGAUGUGAAAGCCCUGGGCUUAACCCAGGAAGUGCAUUCGAAACUCACGAACUUGAGUCCAGGAGAGGAAGGCGGAAUUCUCGGUGUAGAGGUGAAAUUCGUAGAUAUCGAGAGGAACAUCUGUGGCGAAGGCGGCCUUCUGGACGGUGACUGACGCUGAGACGCGAAAGCGUGGGGAGCAAACAGG